This 253-nucleotide ribosomal RNA is filed under the name uncultured bacterium. RNAcentral's name for it is "partial 16S ribosomal RNA". It matches the Rfam family "Archaeal small subunit ribosomal RNA", at positions 474 to 727 of the family's 1478-position model. The record is from RNAcentral.
UACCAGCACCCCGAGUGGUCGGGACGAUUAUUGGGCCUAAAGCAUCCGUAGCCGGUCCUGCAAGUCUUCCGUUAAAUCCAGCUGCUCAACAGAUGGGCUGCGGGGGAUACUACAGGGCUAGGAGGCGGGAGAGGCAAGCGGUACUUUAUGGGUAGGGGUAAAAUCCGUUGAUCCAUAGAAGACCACCAGUGGCGAAGGCGGCUUGCCAGAACGCGUUCGACGGUGAGGGAUGAAAGCUGGGGGAGCAAACCGG